AACGAACGCUGGCGGCAUGCCUAACACAUGCAAGUCGAACGAGACCUUCGGGUCUAGUGGCGCACGGGUGCGUAACGCGUGGGAACCUGCCCUUAGGUUCGGAAUAACUCCCCGAAAGGGGUGCUAAUACCGGAUAAUGUCUUCGGACCAAAGAUUUAUCGCCUUUGGAUGGUCCCGCGUUGGAUUAGCUAGUUGGUAGGGUAAAAGCCUACCAAGGCGACGAUCCAUAGCUGGUCUGAGAGGAUGAUCAGCCACACUGGGACUGAGACACGGCCCAGACUCCUACGGGAGGUAGCAGUGGGGAAUAUUGGACAAUGGGCGAAAGCCUGAUCCAGCAAUGCCGCGUGAGUGAUGAAGGCCUUAGGGUUGUAAAGCUCUUUUACCCGGGAUGAUAAUGACAGUACCGGGAGAAUAAGCUCCGGCUAACUCCGUG
Molecule: ribosomal RNA, 433 nt
Filed under: uncultured bacterium
Lineage: Bacteria
Description: partial 16S ribosomal RNA
Rfam family: Bacterial small subunit ribosomal RNA
Source: RNAcentral